Molecule: ribosomal RNA, 560 nt
Filed under: Alternaria alternata
Lineage: Eukaryota; Fungi; Ascomycota; Dothideomycetes; Pleosporales; Pleosporaceae
Description: eukaryotic LSU rRNA
Rfam family: 5.8S ribosomal RNA (bases 181-334)
Source: RNAcentral
GCGGAGGGAUCAUUACACAAAUAUGAAGGCGGGCUGGAACCUCUCGGGGUUACAGCCUUGCUGAAUUAUUCACCCUUGUCUUUUGCGUACUUCUUGUUUCCUUGGUGGGUUCGCCCACCACUAGGACAAACAUAAACCUUUUGUAAUUGCAAUCAGCGUCAGUAACAAAUUAAUAAUUACAACUUUCAACAACGGAUCUCUUGGUUCUGGCAUCGAUGAAGAACGCAGCGAAAUGCGAUAAGUAGUGUGAAUUGCAGAAUUCAGUGAAUCAUCGAAUCUUUGAACGCACAUUGCGCCCUUUGGUAUUCCAAAGGGCAUGCCUGUUCGAGCGUCAUUUGUACCCUCAAGCUUUGCUUGGUGUUGGGCGUCUUGUCUCUAGCUUUGCUGGAGACUCGCCUUAAAGUAAUUGGCAGCCGGCCUACUGGUUUCGGAGCGCAGCACAAGUCGCACUCUCUAUCAGCAAAGGUCUAGCAUCCAUUAAGCCUUUUUUUUCAACUUUUGACCUCGGAUCAGGUAGGGAUACCCGCUGAACUUAAGCAUAUCAAUAAGCGGAGGAAAAA